GACGAACGCUGGCGGCGUGCUUAACACAUGCAAGUCGAACGGAAAGGCCCUGCUGUUGUGGGGUGCUCGAGUGGCGAACGGGUGAGUAACACGUGAGUAACCGGCCCUUGACUUUAGGAUAACUUCAGGAAACUGGUGCUAAUACCGGAUAGGAGCUCCUGCUGCAUGGUGGGGGUUGGAUAGCUUGGGCGGUUGGGGAUGGACUCGCGGCUCAUCAGCUUGUUGGUGGGGUAGUGGCUUACCAAGGCUUUGACGGGUAGCCGGCCUGAGAGGGUGACCGGCCACAUUGGGACUGAGAUACGGCCCAGACUCCUACGGGAGGCAGCAGUGGGGAAUAUUGCACAAUGGGCGGAAGCCUGAUGCAGCAACGCCGCGUGCGGGAUGACGGCCUUCGGGUUGUAAACCGCUUUCGACUGUGACGAAGCGUAAGUGACGGUAAUGAGUGAAGAAGCACCGGCUAACUACGUG
This 468-nucleotide ribosomal RNA is filed under the name uncultured bacterium. Its description in RNAcentral is "partial 16S ribosomal RNA". It matches the Rfam family "Bacterial small subunit ribosomal RNA", at positions 28 to 507 of the family's 1533-position model. The record is from RNAcentral.